Molecule: long non-coding RNA, 1531 nt
Filed under: Homo sapiens (human)
Lineage: Eukaryota; Metazoa; Chordata; Mammalia; Primates; Hominidae
Description: HSALNT0322556
Source: RNAcentral
AUGUUUAGCCCAGCAUCUGGCUCCUAAGCGGUGCCAUGUGGCCAGUCAGUGAUAAAUGAUGGGAGACAGUAUAUGGUAUGUCCAAAAGGAGUGACAGAAAGUGUGGAGGGAAUUUGGACUCACAUUGAUAGUCACUGCAAUGGGGCCUAAACAUGCUAAGCACCUUCCACACGAGAGGUAUAGAGAGCCAGCAAAAGCUCGACUCUUCCAUCUAACAAGCACCACAAACCUAGAGUCAUGCUCUACUUUUUUGGAGAAAACAUGUUGGCUUCCCACUGAGCCUGCCAUCAUGAGGCACAAUAGUGGGCAUCUUGGUGGUUUGCUAAUAAUAACAGCUGAUAUUUAUAGAAGGCUCACUGUGGAUCCAGAACUUUACUGAAAAUUCUACAAGAACUGUAUCUCUCAGUCCUCACAUCAACACUAUGAGGAAGGAACUACUGUUACCCCUGCUUUACAGGUGGGGAAAUGAGGCCCAGAUACCAAGUAGCUGUACUAAAAGCACAGAGAUUUAACCUCCUGGACCUUAUUCACCAGAACGCAAGCCAAACCUCCAUAUACAUUUUACUUACUUCCCAAAAUUUUAUGUGUACAUCAAGAGCUGAUCAUAAAUAGAAGGUCAAAGUGACCUAUUGUGACAUCAAAUCUUGGAGCCACUUUAAUGUGACUUCACUAAAUUGCCUUCGUCCAGUGCCUCACAGACAGCAUCCCAGCACAUCAUGGAGAGCUAAGUGACAGAACAGGCAGCUCCUCUUCUCCCUGACAUGGGCAGUGUUUAAUCAUUCCCUUUGCAAAGGAUCCCCAAAUUGGGAGAGGCUGGAUGGAUGACUAAGUCAAGUUGGUGCAAAAUGAGUCACGUUUCUUGAAGGUCACUUCCCCAAAUGUAUGAGCCACCAAAGGGAAAGGAAAACUAUUUCUUAAGGUUCUAAGAAUUAAGUAGCAUGAAAUCCAAAUCUAAAAUCAUUGUCUCCAUGCUUCAUUGAAGAAAAUGAACGUGAAAAAAUCCAAUAGCAGCUGCAAACCAUUUAAGAAUUCCUAGUUAAACUGCAAAAUACAUUUUCAACCAUUUAGCCAUAACAACUUCUAAACGGAGAAAGUUGCUUCUUUAUAUAAACCACCUCUGUUUACCAAACAUCAGAGAAUCUCCGGGCAGAGGGCUACUGCAGGAUGGGAAUAGUAAGAGAAUGUUACAACCCAUGAGGUGCUGAUCUGCACACACCACCGUGAGGAAAUACCUUAAGUGAUUAAAGACAAACGCCACCUGCAUGCUUGGCAAAGGAGUCCACUGCUAUCGCCACACACUCUCCCCAGUGAGAGAGGGGAAACGAUGGACUGAAGUCCCACAGUGGAUUAGAACUGGGCACAAAAGGAGCCAGGAACAGAAGAUGGCAGCAUAGGAAGGGAAUGUUAUGCUUUGCCCCAGCUGGGGACUCUGGCAGUAUUAUCACUUAGGCAUCCUGAAGCCCAAACUCAAGAAUAAAGAAUUAAAAUUUCAUAUCUUCUUUGACUUAGUAUCCAGAAAAUUUUGUUGAAU